UUCUAAGUCAGUUUUUCACUUUGCCAACUUUUUUCUUCUCUCUCUAAAAACUCAUCUUCUAAAUAUUGUUCUGCCUUCUCUCUAAAAUACCACCCUGUUGAACCGUUCAAUUUUUGAAUAGGUGGUGCUCAAACCUUCACCGCGUCAAGGGCUGCGUAACGGACCGAACGGGUUCUUGUUCCAACCGGGUGUCUUUGAAUUUUGCUGUGAGGAGCACUAUUUAGAUCAUCUCUGUCAAGUAAACUGUGAAGUUUUCCAGGUAAGGGGAGCUAAUUAUUUUUGUAUGAAUUUAUUUUAUACAAAUAUAUGCAGGUUGAAUGUUGAACUGGUGUGUUCUUGUGAAGUUGUUCUGAUUCGAUUGAUGAUAAAGAAAAAGAAUUCUUGGUUCAGUUUUCUACCUUAACAACAGAAAAAAGGAUGUUAAUUUUUAUUGGAUAAUUAUAACUGAGAUGUGGAAUUGUGCUUAAAUAAUUUAUGCUUUGGUGUUGAACUGAUACAUGUGGCAAUUAUGUUUGUAAGUGUCUCUGUUGAAAUUAAUCUGUUUUGGUUGAAAUUGUUCUGGUUGGAGGGUUUGGAGUAAGGGCUCUGUGAUAGCAUGUAUAUGGGCAGAUACAAGUUACUAUGAGGGGAAGGGUGAUAUAUAUAAUUGAGUAUUUGAUGUCUAGAACUGUAGGACAGUUUUAAUAACUUAGAUAAUUAAAUCAUAACUUGUUAAAAGCCUUUCUUUGUUGGUAGGAUAGAGGGGACUUAAAAACCUGAGUUGACACAUUCCUGAUCAUAGAGCAGUCCUGGCCUGGUCCAAUACGUUGUGACUAGUCAUAUGUGCUAGCGCCGAAGAUGUUGUUGAGGAGGUUCCAUUGGACCAAGAGUUGGAGGAUGCUGAUGAUGCAGUAUAAUAUUUUUAGGAUUUCUAAAUUUAAGUUGGUGUUAUUUUGAAGUACUCUAAACUGUUUAAAUUUUAAGUUUUGUCCUUUUGUGAUGAUUGUAAUAUCAGCUACUGAACUACUAUUCUACCCUAAUUGUUCUCUUUAUUAGAACGUGGACACCUAAGUUAUAUGAUUGUGGUUAUUAUAUA
This is a long non-coding RNA of Vigna angularis (adzuki bean), 1075 nucleotides long. RefSeq lists it as uncharacterized. The transcript has 3 exons. NCBI's taxonomy places the organism in Eukaryota, Viridiplantae, Streptophyta, Magnoliopsida, Fabales, Fabaceae. The record is from RefSeq and is a predicted model, not a curated record.